CCUACGGGCGGCUGCAGUAAGGAAUAUUGGUCAAUGGACGAAAGUCUGAACCAGCCAUCCCGCGUGCAGGAUGAAAGCCCUAUGGGUUGUAAACUGCUUUUAGCAGAGAAGAAAAGCUUUCAUUAAUGAGAGUCUGACGGUAUCUGCAGAAUAAGCACCGCUAACUCCGUGCCAGCAGCCGCGGUAAUACGGAGGGUGCGAGGGUUAUCCGGAUUUAAUGGGUUUGAAGGCUGCGUAGUAAGAGAGUUGUGAAAUCUUGUCGCUUAACGAUAAAAUUGCCAAUGAUACUGGUACUCUUGAAUUGGGUUGAGGUUAGCGGAAUGUGACAUGUAGCGGUGAAAUGCAUAGAUAUGUCAUGGAACACCAAUUGCGAAGGCAGCUAACUGGGCCUUGAUUGACGCUGAGGCACGAAAGCGUGGGUAGCGAACAGGAUUAGAUACCCCAGUAGUC
RNAcentral lists this ribosomal RNA (450 nucleotides) under uncultured bacterium. Its description in RNAcentral is "partial 16S ribosomal RNA". It matches the Rfam family "Bacterial small subunit ribosomal RNA", at positions 338 to 795 of the family's 1533-position model. The record is from RNAcentral.